RNAcentral lists this ribosomal RNA (442 nucleotides) under uncultured bacterium. Its description in RNAcentral is "partial 16S ribosomal RNA". It matches the Rfam family "Bacterial small subunit ribosomal RNA", at positions 338 to 795 of the family's 1533-position model. The record is from RNAcentral.
CCUACGGGUGGCAGCAGUGGGGAAUAUUGGGCAAUGGACGCAAGUCUGACCCAGCAACGCCGCGUGAAGGAAGAAGGCUUUCGGGUUGUUAACUUCUUUUAAGGGGGAAGAGCAGAAGACGGUACCUCUUGAAUAAGCCACGGCUAACUACGUGUCAGCAGCCGCGGUAAUACGUAGGUGGCAAGCGUUGUCCGGAUUUACUGGGUGUAAAGGGCGUGCAGCCGGGCCGACAAGUCAGAUGUGAAAUCUGCGGGCUUAACCCGCGAACUGCAUUUGAAACUAUUGGUCUUGAGUACCGGAGAGGUCAUCGGAAUUCCUUGUGUAGCGGUGAAAUGCGUAGAUAUAAGGAAGAACACCAGUGGCGAAGGCGGAUGACUGGACGGCAACUGACGGUGAGGCGCGAAAGCGUGGGGAGCAAACAGGAUUAGAUACCCGUGUAGUC